RNAcentral lists this ribosomal RNA (441 nucleotides) under uncultured bacterium. RNAcentral's name for it is "partial 16S ribosomal RNA". It matches the Rfam family "Bacterial small subunit ribosomal RNA", at positions 338 to 795 of the family's 1533-position model. The record is from RNAcentral.
CCUACGGGGGGCAGCAGUGGGGGAUAUUGCACAAUGGGGGGAACCCUGAUGCAGCGACGCCGCGUGGGUGAAGGAGUGCUUCGGCAUGUAAAGCCCUAUCGGCAGGGAAGAAGCCAGACGGUACCUGACUAAGAAGCCCCGGCUAACUACGUGCCAGCAGCCGCGGUAAUACGUAGGGGGCGAGCGUUAUCCGGAUUCACUGGGGGUAAAGGGAGCGUAGACGGCCAUGCAAGCCAGGGGUGAAAGCCCGGGGCCCAACCCCGGGACUGCCUUUGGUACUGUGCGGCUAGAGUGCGGGAGGGGGAGGCGGAAUUCCUGGUGUAGCGGUGAAAUGCGUAGAGAUGAGGAGGAACACCGGAGGCGAAGGCGGCCGGCUGGACCGGGACUGACGUUGAGGCUCGAAAGCGUGGGGAGCGAACAGGAUUAGAUACCCGAGUAGUC